UGGGACGUGGCCAAGUGGUAAGGCAGUGGUUUUUGGCACCACCAUUCGGAGGUUCGAAUCCUUCCGUCCCAG
This 72-nucleotide transfer RNA is filed under the name Monomastix sp. OKE-1. RNAcentral's name for it is "tRNA-Gln". It matches the Rfam family "tRNA". From Rfam's summary of the family: Transfer RNA (tRNA) molecules are approximately 80 nucleotides in length. The record is from RNAcentral. Lineage: Eukaryota; Viridiplantae; Chlorophyta; Mamiellophyceae; Monomastigales; Monomastigaceae.